This 407-nucleotide ribosomal RNA is filed under the name uncultured bacterium. RNAcentral's name for it is "partial 16S ribosomal RNA". It matches the Rfam family "Bacterial small subunit ribosomal RNA", at positions 28 to 526 of the family's 1533-position model. The record is from RNAcentral.
GACGAACGCUGGCGGCGUGCCUAAUACAUGCAAGUCGAACGCAGUUGCGAACGGGUGAGUAACGCGUAGGUAACUGCCUCUAAGAGGGGGAUAACUAUUGGAAACGAUAGCUAAUACCGCAUACUGUGAGAUGGACUUGAGUUGUAUUAGCUAGUUGGUGAGGUAAAGGCUCACCAAGGCGAAGAUACAUAGCCGACCUGAGAGGGGUGUCGGCCACACGGGGACUGCGACACGGCCCAGACUCCGUCUGGAGGCAGCCGGAGGGAGUUUUUGGCAAUGGACGGAAGUCUUACCGAGCACGGCGGCGGGAGUGAAGAGGGGUUUCGGAUCGUGAAGCUCUGUUGUUAGAGGAGCGGUAACUAACCAGAAAGGGACGGCUAACUUCGUGGCAGCAGGCGCGGGAAUAC